Molecule: ribosomal RNA, 253 nt
Filed under: uncultured bacterium
Lineage: Bacteria
Description: partial 16S ribosomal RNA
Rfam family: Bacterial small subunit ribosomal RNA
Source: RNAcentral
CACGUAGGGGCCAAGCGUUGUCCGGAUUUAUUGGGCGUAAAGAGCUCGUAGGCGGUUCAGUCAGUCGGGUGUGAAAUCCCCGAGCUCAACUCGGGAACUGCGUCCGAUACUGGCGGGCUUGAAUCCGGGAGAGGGAUGCGGAAUUCCAGGUGUAGCGGUGAAAUGCGUAGAUAUCUGGAGGAACACCGGUGGCGAAGGCGGCAUCCUGGACCGGCAUUGACGCUGAGGCGCGAAAGCUAGGGGAGCAAACGGG